UGAGUAACGCGUGGGUAACCUGCCCUUAAGUCUGGGAUACCAUUUGGAAACAGAUGCUAAUACCGGAUAAAAGCUACUUUCGCAUGAAAGAAGUUUAAAAGGCGGCGUAAGCUGUCGCUAAAGGAUGGACCUGCGAUGCAUUAGCUAGUUGGUAGGGUAACGGCCUACCAAGGCGAUGAUGCAUAGCCGAGUUGAGAGACUGAUCGGCCACAUUGGGACUGAGACACGGCCCAAACUCCUACGGGAGGCAGCAGUG
RNAcentral lists this ribosomal RNA (256 nucleotides) under uncultured Lactobacillus sp. Its description in RNAcentral is "partial 16S ribosomal RNA". It matches the Rfam family "Bacterial small subunit ribosomal RNA", at positions 107 to 356 of the family's 1533-position model. The record is from RNAcentral. Lineage: Bacteria; Bacillati; Bacillota; Bacilli; Lactobacillales; Lactobacillaceae.